AUUGAACGCUGGCGGCAGGCCUAACACAUGCAAGUCGAGCGGAUGAAGGGAGCUUGCUCCUGGAUUCCGCGGCGGACGGGUGAGUAAUGCCUAGGAAUCUGCCUGGUAGUGGGGGAUAACGUCCGGAAACGGGCGCUAAUACCGCAUACGUCCUGAGGGAGCAAGUGGGGGAUCUUCGGACCUCACGCUAUCAGAUGAGCCUAGGCCGGAUUAGCUAGUUGGUGGGGUAAAGGCCUACCAAGGCGACGAUCCGUAACUGGUCUGAGAGGAUGAUCAGUCACACUGGAACUGGGACACGGUCCAGGCUCCUGCGGGAGGCAGCAGUGGGGAAUAUUGGACAAUGGGCGAAAGCCUGAUCCAACCAUGCCGCGUGUGUGAAAAAGGUCUUCGGAUUGUAAAGCACUUUAAGUUGGGAGGAAGGGCAGUAAGUUAAUACCUUGCUGUUUUGACGUUACCAACAGAAUAAGCACCGGCUAACUUCGUG
RNAcentral lists this ribosomal RNA (484 nucleotides) under uncultured bacterium. RNAcentral describes it as "partial 16S ribosomal RNA". It matches the Rfam family "Bacterial small subunit ribosomal RNA", at positions 30 to 507 of the family's 1533-position model. The record is from RNAcentral.